UCUAUGAAAUUUUGUAACUUUGUUCCAAACUUUUUGUUCUUCAUUCUCAUCAAGAUUAAGGAAUUUUGUUCUUCAAUUAUCUCAUCAGAAAUGUGUAUUUGAAAUUAUUGGGUAAACCCGAAGGUAACCGGAACAAACUUAGAUACUUUCAAGUGUUCGAUCGUUUGGUAAAUUGUUUACUUGAAAUGAAAAUUAAACCGAGGAAACAAGUUCAAUUAUCCGAGUCAGAAAUUAGGCAGGUUUGUGUUGUUUCUAAAGAGAUUUUUUUGGAGUAACCUGUUCAUUUGGAGCUUGAAGCCCCAAUGAAAUUUGUGAUUCGACGGUGUCAGGUAUAAUUUUGCAUGACUAGCAGCUUCUCCAUACCUUGAAAAGGGCCAGCAACGAUUUUUCUUUGAGAAAUAUGAUUCCGAAGAAUAAACUAACAACAUUCAUCGACAUGGGUUAAGAGUGGACUUACCAUAGGUGUCGUGGGAAAUAACUUAAUGAUUAGUUACAUAUAAGCAAUAGAAUGAUGGACAUUAUAGUCUGCAGCAUGCUCGGUCCAAACGUAAACAUUAGUGAUUAGUCACUUCGUGCAGAAGGGUUCAACCCCAUUUUAAAAAUUCUAUAAAGCAAUGCUAAAUUUAGAGCUUGGAUUGCAGCAAUUAAUGAAGCUGGGUUAAGGCCUCCUGAAGGUGGGUGCCAUCCUCAUCGUUUUGGUUCUUUUGCUCCAUCAAGAGGGUUGAUUGAAGAUGAAAGUCAGGCUCAAUGGUUUGUUGAUGGACAAGCAGCAUUUCAAUACAGGAUGGUGGCUGUGCCCAGAACUGUAACUAAGGCGUCCUGUUAGUAGACAAGAGUCCUCUAGGCUUGAUGAGAUAAUUGAAGCAAAAGACAAAGAAGGAGUCCAGGUGCUUUCCCCCUCAUUCCUAGAACUCCCUUUUAUCGUUGAUGUUUUAUUUGUUUUCAAGGUUUGGCAGUAAUGCUAUCCAGUAAUGCUAUCCCUUGACGUGCUUGCUAGAAAAGGAAUGAAUAAGAAAUUGUGCCUAUUUCCUUUAUUCUCAUAUGAAAAACUUAAACAAUCUCUCUCUUUCUCUGGGAUAGCAAAGCUGUGUCCGUAAUUUUUUACUUGAUGACCUAUAUGACUGGAUUUUGGCUCUGGCAUUAAAAUGAGAAAAAGAAGUAGCUUAUAUGACUGGAGUUUGGCUCUGGUGAUUUUGUUACUACAGAAUGUGAUGGGAUUGGUAUUAGUUGUUGUGAUUAGAGCUCUGGAGUGGGCAGUGAGUGAAAAGCCAUUGGCAGAGGGGUUUAAAUGUUUAAUUCAUCUGACUCAAUAUCUGUCAUUCUAGCUUUCAACAAUAUAUGUCAUUCUAGCUUUAUAAAACAAUAAAAUUCCUUAGGAUACUAUGGAAUAAAUGGAAUGUUUG
Molecule: long non-coding RNA, 1403 nt
Organism: Papaver somniferum (opium poppy)
Lineage: Eukaryota; Viridiplantae; Streptophyta; Magnoliopsida; Ranunculales; Papaveraceae
Exons: 5
Source: RefSeq, a predicted model, not a curated record